UGGCACCAAUGAUACCAAGUUU
This 22-nucleotide microRNA is filed under the name Prunus persica (peach). RNAcentral's name for it is "ppe-miR8124-3p". The record is from miRBase by way of RNAcentral. Lineage: Eukaryota; Viridiplantae; Streptophyta; Magnoliopsida; Rosales; Rosaceae.